This 468-nucleotide ribosomal RNA is filed under the name uncultured bacterium. RNAcentral describes it as "partial 16S ribosomal RNA". It matches the Rfam family "Bacterial small subunit ribosomal RNA", at positions 28 to 507 of the family's 1533-position model. The record is from RNAcentral.
GACGAACGCUGGCGGCGUGCUUAACACAUGCAAGUCGAACGGAAAGGCCCUGGUUUUGUGGGGUGCUCGAGUGGCGAACGGGUGAGUAACACGUGAGUAUCCUGCCUUGGACUUUGGGAUAACUUCAGGAAACUGGGGCUAAUACCGGAUAGGAGCUCCUGCUGCAUGGUGUGGGUUGGAAAGUGUCGGCGGUUGGGGAUGGAAUCGCGGCUUGUCAGCUUGCUGGUGGGGUAGUGGCUUACCAAGGCUUUGACGGGUAGCCGGCCUGAGAGGGUGACCGGCCACAUUAGGACUGAGAUGCGGCCCAGACUCCUACGGGAGGCAGCGGUGCGGAAUAGUGCACUAUGGGCGGAAGCCUGAUGCAGCAACGCCGCGUGCGGGAUGACGGCCUUCGGGUUGUAAUCCGCUUUCGCCUGUGACGAAGCGUGAGUGACGGUAAUGGGUAAAGAAGCACCGGCUAACUACGUG